RNAcentral lists this ribosomal RNA (426 nucleotides) under Stenotrophomonas sp. SAM-B. RNAcentral's name for it is "bacterial SSU rRNA". It matches the Rfam family "Bacterial small subunit ribosomal RNA", at positions 350 to 793 of the family's 1533-position model. The record is from RNAcentral. Lineage: Bacteria; Pseudomonadati; Pseudomonadota; Gammaproteobacteria; Lysobacterales; Lysobacteraceae.
AGCAGUGGGGAAUAUUGGACAAUGGGCGAAAGCCUGAUCCAGCAAUGCCGCGUGAGUGAUGAAGGCCUUAGGGUUGUAAAGCUCUUUUACCCGGGAUGAUAAUGACAGUACCGGGAGAAUAAGCUCCGGCUAACUCCGUGCCAGCAGCCGCGGUAAUACGGAGGGAGCUAGCGUUGUUCGGAAUUACUGGGCGUAAAGCGCACGUAGGCGGCUUUGUAAGUUAGAGGUGAAAGCCCGGGGCUCAACUCCGGAAUUGCCUUUAAGACUGCAUCGCUUGAAUCAUGGAGAGGUGAGUGGAAUUCCGAGUGUAGAGGUGAAAUUCGUAGAUAUUCGGAAGAACACCAGUGGCGAAGGCGACUCACUGGACAAGUAUUGACGCUGAGGUGCGAAAGCGUGGGGAGCAAACAGGAUUAGAUACCCGUGUAG